RNAcentral lists this small RNA (668 nucleotides) under Pan troglodytes (chimpanzee). RNAcentral's name for it is "processed transcript". Lineage: Eukaryota; Metazoa; Chordata; Mammalia; Primates; Hominidae. The record is from RNAcentral.
GAGGGGGGUUUAAUCUGGACUGAAUUGGAGGAAAGGAACUGGCACCAGAGUGGAGGCUGGAAGGAUGGUGGAACUGACACUGGGACAGAACACAGAAAACAGAAUCUAAUGCUAGAGGAGGUCUGAUGGCCGGGAGGACAGGAAGAAGGAACCCACAAUAAAGCAAAAGUCGCGUUUAACUCUGUCCUCACCAUUCCUCUCCUGGGCCUGUCCUAAACUGGAAGCUGGGGGAGGAUGGAGUGCUGGAAUGCUGCAGAAGUCUCAUGGGAGGGCGCCUGGUGUUCACCACAUGUGUACCCUGUUGCACGACCAGAUGGAAAUUUGAAUGCUGGGGCUCAGUGGAACACCUGAAGGAAGCUGGUGAGGCAGAUGUCCCGCUAUGCCUUCCAAGUGUCAUGCAACCAGUUCAUGCCUGUCAGCAUCUCUGCCGGUGGACUCUGUGAGUCAGCAAAUCUACAGAGCAGAGAGCCACAAGUGGGGACAGAUGUGGUCAAAUGCCAUUUAAAUCAGUGAUUCUCAACCCAGGAGUUGUCAUGGCACUGGCCUUGAGUGAGCUGGACCAAGGGAAGUGGUAGAAUUCCCCAUGAAGGACCAAGUAAGCAGAUAGAACUUUCUCCAUUUUAACUUUUUCUGAGUCAAUUUAAAAAACACCUAGUGCCUUUUUCUGU